This 66-nucleotide transfer RNA is filed under the name Neocaridina denticulata (Japanese swamp shrimp). Its description in RNAcentral is "tRNA-Thr". It matches the Rfam family "tRNA". Rfam says of the family: Transfer RNA (tRNA) molecules are approximately 80 nucleotides in length. Their secondary structure includes four short double-helical elements and three loops (D, anti-codon, and T loops). Lineage: Eukaryota; Metazoa; Arthropoda; Malacostraca; Decapoda; Atyidae. RNAcentral also lists the same sequence under 1 other name. The record is from RNAcentral.
GCUUUGAUAGUUUAAAACAAAACAUUGGUCUUGUAAACCGAUAAUAAGGACUUACCUUUCAAAUCU